This 253-nucleotide ribosomal RNA is filed under the name uncultured bacterium. Its description in RNAcentral is "partial 16S ribosomal RNA". It matches the Rfam family "Bacterial small subunit ribosomal RNA", at positions 524 to 776 of the family's 1533-position model. The record is from RNAcentral.
UACAGAGGUCUCAAGCGUUGUUCGGAUUCAUUGGGCGUAAAGGGCGUGUAGGCGGUCCGCUAAGUCUGAUGUGAAAGCCCGGGGCUCACCCCCGGAAGGGCAUUGGAAACUGACGGACUCGAGUCCCGAAGAGGAGGGUGGAAUUCCUGGUGUAGCGGUGAAAUGCGUAGAUAUCAGGAGGAACACCGGUGGCGAAGGCGGCCCUCUGGACGGUGACUGACGCUGAGACGCGAAAGCGUGGGGAGCAAACAGG